GGGGGAAGUACUAUUUGGAUUAUAGAAA
RNAcentral lists this non-coding RNA (28 nucleotides) under Rattus norvegicus (Norway rat). The record is from RNAcentral. Lineage: Eukaryota; Metazoa; Chordata; Mammalia; Rodentia; Muridae.